CAGCAGCCACGGUAAUACGUAGGUGGCAAGCGUUGUCCGGAUUAUUGGGCGUAAAGGGCUCGCAGGCGGUUUCUUAAGUCUGAUGUGAAAGCCCCCGGCUCAACCGGGGAGGGUCAUUGGAAACUGGGAAACUUGAGUGCAGAAGAGGAGAGUGGAAUUCCACGUGUAGCGGUGAAAUGCGUAGAGAUGUGGAGGAACACCAGUGGCGAAGGCGACUCUCUGGUCUGUAACUGACGCUGAGGAGCGAAAGCGUGGGGAGCGAACAGGAUUAGAUACCCGAGUAGUCCCUGUCUCUUAUACA
This 301-nucleotide ribosomal RNA is filed under the name uncultured bacterium. RNAcentral's name for it is "partial 16S ribosomal RNA". It matches the Rfam family "Bacterial small subunit ribosomal RNA", at positions 509 to 808 of the family's 1533-position model. The record is from RNAcentral.